RNAcentral lists this ribosomal RNA (813 nucleotides) under Artemia franciscana. Its description in RNAcentral is "SSU rRNA". It matches the Rfam family "Eukaryotic small subunit ribosomal RNA", at positions 930 to 1765 of the family's 1831-position model. The record is from RNAcentral. Lineage: Eukaryota; Metazoa; Arthropoda; Branchiopoda; Anostraca; Artemiidae.
GCAAGACGAACAACUGCGAAAGCAUUUGCCAAGAAUGUUUUCAUUAAUCAAGAACGAAAGUUAGAGGUUCGAAGGCGAUCAGAUACCGCCCUAGUUCUAACCAUAAACGAUGCCAACCAGCGAUCCGCGGACGUUACUUGAAUGACUCCGCGGGCAGCUUCCGGGAAACCAAAGUGUUUGGGUUCCGGGGGAAGUAUGGUUGCAAAGCUGAAACUUAAAGGAAUUGACGGAAGGGCACCACCAGGAGUGGAGCCUGCGGCUUAAUUUGACUCAACACGGGAAACCUCACCAGGCCCGGACACUGGAAGGAUUGACAGAUUGAGAGCUCUUUCUUGAUUCAGUGGGUGGUGGUGCAUGGCCGUUCUUAGUUGGUGGAGCGAUUUGUCUGGUUAAUUCCGAUAACGAACGAGACUCUAGCCUGCUAAAUAGACGAUGGAUCCUAGUGGUGGAUCGCUCUUCUUAGAGGGACAAGUGGCGUCUAGCCAUAUGAGAGUGAGCAAUAACAGGUCUGUGAUGCCCUUAGAUGUCCUGGGCCGCACGCGCGCUACACUGGAAGAAUCAGCGCGUCCUCCCUGUCCGAGAGGACCGGGUAACCGCUGAACCUCUUCCGUGGUUGGGAUUGGGGACUGCAAGGAUCCCCAUGAACCAGGAAUCCCUAGUAGGCGCAAGUCAUUAGCUUGCGUCGAUUACGUCCCUGCCCUUUGUACACACCGCCCGUCGCUACUACCGAUUGAAUGAUUUAGUGAGAACUUCGGACGACUCGCCAGGGCAGCCUCCGGGCCGCUCGUGGUGUGGUUGAAAGUUGUUCAAACU